RNAcentral lists this ribosomal RNA (588 nucleotides) under uncultured bacterium. Its description in RNAcentral is "bacterial SSU rRNA". It matches the Rfam family "Bacterial small subunit ribosomal RNA", at positions 335 to 916 of the family's 1533-position model. The record is from RNAcentral.
ACUCCUACGGGAGGCAGCAGUGGGGAAUUUUGGACAAUGGGGGCAACCCUGAUCCAGCAAUGCCGCGUGUGUGAAGAAGGCCUUCGGGUUGUAAAGCACUUUUGUCCGGAAAGAAAUCGCACUUACUAAUAUUAGGUGUGGAUGACGGUACCGGAAGAAUAAGGACCGGCUAACUACGUGCCAGCAGCCGCGGUAAUACGUAGGGUCCAAGCGUUAAUCGGAAUUACUGGGCGUAAAGCGUGCGCAGGCGGUUGUGCAAGACCGAUGUGAAAUCCCCGGGCUUAACCUGGGAAUUGCAUUGGUGACUGCACGGCUAGAGUGUGUCAGAGGGGGGUAGAAUUCCACGUGUAGCAGUGAAAUGCGUAGAGAUGUGGAGGAAUACCGAUGGCGAAGGCAGCCCCCUGGGCCAAUACUGACGCUCAUGCACGAAAGCGUGGGGAGCAAACAGGAUUAGAUACCCUGGUAGUCCACGCCCAAAACGAUGUCAACUAGUUGUCGGGUCUUCAUUGACUUGGUAACGUAGCUAACGCGUGAAGUUGACCGCCUGGGGAGUACGGUCGCAAGAUUAAAACUCAAAGGAAUUGACGG